This 916-nucleotide ribosomal RNA is filed under the name Mesoflavibacter zeaxanthinifaciens. Its description in RNAcentral is "bacterial SSU rRNA". It matches the Rfam family "Bacterial small subunit ribosomal RNA", at positions 59 to 975 of the family's 1533-position model. The record is from RNAcentral. Lineage: Bacteria; Pseudomonadati; Bacteroidota; Flavobacteriia; Flavobacteriales; Flavobacteriaceae.
AAGUCGAGGGGUAACAGAGAAAAGCUUGCUUUUUUGCUGACGACCGGCGCACGGGUGCGUAACGCGUAUGCAAUCUACCUUUUGCUAAGGGAUAGCCCAGAGAAAUUUGGAUUAAUACCUUAUAGUAUGAUGACUUGGCAUCAAGAUAUCAUUAAAGGUUACGGCAAAAGAUGAGCAUGCGUUCUAUUAGCUAGUUGGUGUGGUAACGGCAUACCAAGGCAACGAUAGAUAGGGGUCCUGAGAGGGAGAUCCCCCACACUGGUACUGAGACACGGACCAGACUCCUACGGGAGGCAGCAGUGAGGAAUAUUGGACAAUGGAGGCAACUCUGAUCCAGCCAUGCCGCGUGCAGGAAGACUGCCCUAUGGGUUGUAAACUGCUUUUAUACAGGAAGAAACACCUCUACGUGUAGAGAUUUGACGGUACUGUAAGAAUAAGGAUCGGCUAACUCCGUGCCAGCAGCCGCGGUAAUACGGAGGAUCCAAGCGUUAUCCGGAAUCAUUGGGUUUAAAGGGUCCGUAGGUGGAUAAUUAAGUCAGAGGUGAAAUCCUGCAGCUUAACUGUAGAAUUGCCUUUGAUACUGGUUGUCUUGAGUUAUUAUGAAGUGGUUAGAAUAUGUAGUGUAGCGGUGAAAUGCAUAGAUAUUACAUAGAAUACCAAUUGCGAAGGCAGAUCACUAAUAAUAUACUGACACUGAUGGACGAAAGCGUGGGGAGCGAACAGGAUUAGAUACCCUGGUAGUCCACGCCGUAAACGAUGGUCACUAGCUGUUCGGGUUUCGAUCUGAGUGGCUAAGCGAAAGUGAUAAGUGACCCACCUGGGGAGUACGUUCGCAAGAAUGAAACUCAAAGGAAUUGACGGGGGCCCGCACAAGCGGUGGACAUGUGUUAAUUCGAUGAACGCGAGGAACCUUACC